RNAcentral lists this unclassified non-coding RNA (353 nucleotides) under soil metagenome. RNAcentral's name for it is "partial contains 5.8S ribosomal RNA, internal transcribed spacer 2, and large subunit ribosomal RNA". The stretch from base 1 to 120 matches the Rfam family "5.8S ribosomal RNA", at positions 35 to 154 of the family's 154-position model. The record is from RNAcentral.
GAUGAAGAACGCAGUGAAACGCGAUAUGUAAUGUGAAUUGCAGAAUUCAGUGAAUCAUCGAAUCUUUGAACGCACAUGGCGCCUUCCAGUAUCCUGGGAGGCAUGCCUGUCCGAGCGUCGUUUCAACCCUCGAGCCCCGUGGCCCGGCGUUGGGGAUCUGCCCAGGCAGUCCCCGAAAACCAGUGGCGGACCCGUUACAGGCCCUUCCCUUGCGUAGUAGCAUUCGCCUCGCAUCGGGAGCCGGCGGGCUUCCAGCCUCUAAACCCCCAUCAAGUCCGCCCCGGCGGCACCAAGGUUGACCUCGGAUCAGGUAGGAAUACCCGCUGAACUUAAGCAUAUCAAUAAGCGGAGGA